UUCGAGUACUGAAUCAAGUGCAUAAGGAAACCAUUGCCUUGAGGAACACAUAAAAUCAAUUUAAAUGACCAAUCAGUAGGAACAAAAGGAAUCCUACGUCAAUCUCCAUUACAAUAAGGAACCUGUACUGUUUCCAUCCCUGUGACUCUAAGGAAGAAAGCUAACAGAAGUAUGAAG
Long non-coding RNA from Chinchilla lanigera (long-tailed chinchilla), 177 nucleotides. RefSeq lists it as uncharacterized. The transcript is spliced from 3 exons. NCBI's taxonomy places the organism in Eukaryota, Metazoa, Chordata, Mammalia, Rodentia, Chinchillidae. The record is from RefSeq and is a predicted model, not a curated record.